This 35-nucleotide transfer RNA is filed under the name Aristolochia nardiana. RNAcentral's name for it is "partial tRNA-Lys". Lineage: Eukaryota; Viridiplantae; Streptophyta; Magnoliopsida; Piperales; Aristolochiaceae. The record is from RNAcentral. RNAcentral also lists the same sequence under 1 other name.
UCCGAUUAGUUCCGGGUUCGAGUCCCGGGCAACCC